RNAcentral lists this long non-coding RNA (1719 nucleotides) under Homo sapiens (human). RNAcentral describes it as "HSALNT0384688". Lineage: Eukaryota; Metazoa; Chordata; Mammalia; Primates; Hominidae. The record is from RNAcentral.
CGCCUGGCCCAGAGUGGGAUCUUAAAGCAGAGUCUGGCUCAAGAUUGAGACAAUUCCCAGCAGAAUGAAUGGAGCAGUAACACAGUCAGAAGGCCCUGAGGGAGGCAGGUGGCUCUCUCUGUUCCUGCCAGCACUCUCUCCCCCACUUCUGAUAACAGACCUGCCGUACCAUGGGAAGAUGGCCAAAAAUGGCCGCCCACGGUACUUGUUCCUCGGCUACAGUAAUUGGUCCAUGUGUAGGCAUGUGACCCAUCAUGACCAAUCAUAGCAGCCCACUUCUGAGCGGGGGCACAGCAAUUGUUCCAGGUGUAGUCAUGUGACUCAAGCAGGGCGAAUUCAGGAUUGUCUGCAGAGCUUGUGGGGAGGAUGUUUCUUUCUCUCCCUCCUCCUCUCUGGCAUCCAGGCCUUAAAGAGGUAGACUUGGCACUACCAGUGGCCUCAGACAAUAAGGCCAAUAAGCAGAGAGGAGGAGAAAUGAAACAUGAGGUGAGGGGGUUAGGACAGGAAGAGAACCCAGAGCUUCCAGUCCCUGGAUCCUAGAGAGCAAUACAGCCUCUUCCCUUUCCUCAUCGUAGCUACCCAGUGAAUAAAUCCCUCGUUCUACCUCAUUCAGAUCAACUUCAGUGCCUGUUGUUUGCAACCCACAGUGUCCCAAUUCAGGACUUGGGAACUGUUUUCCUUUUCAUGGAUUGUGUAGAACUGAAAGGGAUACGUCAUUCUCAGAACUUAUAUUCUUGUUCCGAUGUGCCAGCUGUACUUAAAAAUAAAAGAAUCCCAGACCCAUCUCCAUGUUCACCACCACCCCUCCUGUUAAUUUCCUGCUGAAUUGCAGCUCAACGCAUGUGCUGGGAUUUCAAGUCCUGCCCUAAUCAAUUUACUACCACCUCCCCAACCUUAACCCCAACCUACACGCACCUUCCUACGCUGGCCUGUGCGUGCAGCCUGCCCUGGCCUCUACUGUGACGCCUACCACGUUAUAUUUGUAAUGAUUUGUUUAUGACUGUCCCCAUACUAGGGAAGGCAUCGAGCUUGAGGAAGAGGCCCCAUUCAUCUCCGUACCCCAGGCCCUGGUACACAGCAGGCAGCUCCAGGCGGGCACGCAUCUUUGUUGUGUUCUCUGCUGACUAUAUCCUCAGCACCUAGAACUGUGUCUGUCACCUAAUAGAUGCUCACAAGAAUGCGGUGUGUCAGGAGAAGCAAAUCCCAAAUGAGAUAAACCUGCCAGUAAUUUCAGCAAAUGAAACGUGGAACACGUCAAGGCCAGAGGAUGGAAAAGGCUCCAGUUUUGAUAAAAGGAGGCCUGCUUGGCUUGGAAUCCUCUCUCCUGCUGGUUGGGAGAUGCAAAGAUGUUUCCAGAGAGGGGCUGAUGAAUUGAGGGGAAAGAAAUGAGCCCAGUAUGAGUCCCCUUUCAGGGCUGAGCGUGUAUAAAACCAAACAACUUGGAACCGCUCCAAGAGAGGGGAUUAAAGCAACAUGUUAUUCUGAGUGAUUGCUUAAUUUAUUGAGCUGCGGCUGGAUCUGUAAUGAAAUACAGCCCUUGUAACUGAUAACCUCCUGCUGCCAUUGAACUUCUACAAUUAAGGAAUAUUUUCUGAGUUUCUCUGGAACGGCUCUGAAUUUUUAGCCUCUGUGGUAGGGUGCUUCUGAACAUUUGUUUUCCAGGCAAUUUUUUUUGAGUAUUAGGCUGAUGUUAAUAAAUAAGCAGCAUUUUAUUGAGUG